RNAcentral lists this ribosomal RNA (776 nucleotides) under uncultured Planctomycetales bacterium. Its description in RNAcentral is "bacterial SSU rRNA". It matches the Rfam family "Bacterial small subunit ribosomal RNA", at positions 59 to 866 of the family's 1533-position model. The record is from RNAcentral. Lineage: Bacteria; Pseudomonadati; Planctomycetota; Planctomycetia; Planctomycetales.
CAGUCGGGGGAUCUCCCGCAAGGGAGGGAACCGGCGUAAGGGGCAGUAAGGCAUGGGUACCUACCCUGAAGUUCGGGAUAGCCAUCAGAGAUGGUGGGUAAUACCGGAUGAUGUCGUGAGACCAAAGAUUUAUCGCUUUGGGAGGGGCCCAUGUGAUAUUAGCUAGUUGGUGAGGUAACGGCUCACCAAGGCGAAGAUGUCUAGCGGGUAUGAGAGUACGACCCGCGCCACUCGCACUGAGACACUGGCGAGACACCUACGGGUGGCUGCAGUCGAGGAUCUUCGGCAAUGGGCGAAAGCCUGACCGAGCGAUGCCGCGUGCGCGAUGAAUGCCUUCGGGUUGUAAAGCGCUUUAGUGGGGGAGAAAGGGGUAAAACCUUGAUCUAUCCCAAAAAUAAGCUCGGGCUAAGUUCGUGCCAGCAGCCGCGGUAAGACAAACCGAGCGAACGUUGUUCGGAAUCACUGGGCUUAAAGGGCGCGUAGGCGGGCUGUCAAGUCUGGGGUGAAAUCCCACGGCUCAACCGUGGAACUGCCUUAGAUACUGACGGCCUCGAGGGAGAUAGGGGCGAGCGGAACUGUGAGUGGAGCGGUGAAAUGCGUUGAUAUUCACAGGAACUCCGGUGGCGAAGGCGGCUCGCUGGAUCUUUUCUGACGCUGAGGCGCGAAAGCUAGGGGAGCAAACGGGAUUAGAUACCCCGGUGGUCCUAGCCCUAAACGUUGGGUACUGGGUAGUAGACUAGACAUGGGGUUUACUGCCGCAGCAAAAGUGCUAAGUA